GACCCAAACAUUAAUCAAUUUUUCAAAUAUCUACUUAUUUUCCUAAUCACCAUACUAAUUCUAGUCACCGCCAACAACCUAUUUCAACUCUUCAUCGGCUGAGAGGGCGUAGGAAUCAUGUCUUUCCUACUCAUCGGUUGAUGGUAUGCUCGAACAGAUGCCAACACAGCAGCCAUCCCAGCAAUCCUAUACAACCGUAUUGGCGACAUUGGCUUCAUCCUAGCCCUAGCAUGAUUCCUCCUACACUCCAACUCAUGAGAACCACAAGAAAUACUCCUCCUAAACACUAACCCUGACUUUAUUCCACUACUAGGUUUCCUCUUAGCAGCAGCAGGAAAAUCAGCUCAAUUAGGUCUUCAUCCCUGACUCCCCUCAGCCAUAGAAGGCCCUACCCCCAUCUCAGCCCUACUUCACUCAAGCCCCAUAGUUGUAGCUGGGGUCUUUCUACUCAACCGCUUCCACCCCUUAGCAGAAAAUAACCCACCAAUCCAAACUCUCACACUAUGCCUAGGCGCCACCACCACCCUGUUCGCAGCAGUCUGUGCUCUUACACAAAAUGACAUCAAAAAAAUCGUAGCCUUCUCUACUUCAAGCCAAUUAGGACUCAUGGUAGUCACAAUCGGCAUCAACCAACCAUACCUAGCAUUCCUACACAUCUGUACCCAUGCUUUCUUCAAAGCCAUAUUAUUUAUAUGCUCCGGAUCCAUUAUUCAUAACCUCAACAAUGAACAAGACAUUCGAAAAAUAGGAGGACUACUCAAAAUUAUACCCCUCACUUCAACCUCCCUCACCAUUGGCAGCCUGGCACUUGCAGGAAUGCCCUUCCUCACGGGCUUCUAUUCCAUAGACCUCAUCAUCAAAACCGCAAAUAUAUCAUACACCAACGCCUGAGCCCUAUCUAUUACUCUCAUCGCCACUUCCCUAACAAGCGCCAAUAGCACUCGAAUAAUUCUCCUCACCCUAACAGGCCAACCUCGUUUCCCAACCCUAACCAACAUCAACGAAAACAACCCUACCCUGCUAAGCCCCAUCAAACGCCUAACAAUCGGAAGCCUAUUCGCAGGAUUUCUCAUCACCAGCAACAUUUUCCCCACAUCCAUCCCCCAAAUGACAAUCCCACUUCACUUAAAACUCACAGCCCUAGGCAUCACCUUCCUAGGACUUCUGACAGCCCUAGACCUCAACUACUUAACCAACAAACUCAAAAUAAAAAACCCACUGUGUACAUUUCACUUUUCCAACAUACUCGGAUUCUAUCCCUGUAUUAUUCACCGCACAAUCCCCCACCUAAGCCUUCCCAUAAGCCAAAAUUUAUCCCUACUUUUAUUAGACCUAACUUGACUAGAAAAACUAAUACCUAAAACAACCUCACAGUACCAAACCUCCGCCUCCAUCAUCACCUCAACUCAAAAAGGCAUAAUCAAACUUUACUUCCUCUUUCUUCUUCCC
This 1449-nucleotide long non-coding RNA is filed under the name Homo sapiens (human). RNAcentral's name for it is "non-protein coding lnc-SLF1-6:1". The record is from RNAcentral. Lineage: Eukaryota; Metazoa; Chordata; Mammalia; Primates; Hominidae.